ACGGGCGGGGAGAAAGAUCGGAUCACCGCGUGCGUGUGUGUGUGUGAGCAGGCAAUAAAAGUGUCAUUAAAGAUUUAAUUAUAAUUAAAUCCCUAAUAUAAUUUGACACUCGGAAUUUCUUUGACAUGUGGAAUUCCAGAUAGAUCAAGCGAUGUUUAUUAAAAAAUUACAAAUACGACUAAAAUAAUAGCAAUAUCUAAGAUUAUAAGGACGAAAUCACAGACUUAUUUUUAAAGUCUGUGAUUCGAGGAAUUUGAAGCGUGAUGCGACGAAUAUGUAAUUGGAAAGCGUCCCGGCAGCGCCACGACACAGGGAGCGAGAAAGUGAGAGGCUGAUCGAAGAGAAAGAAGAGGGAGGGAUCGUAGAUUCGAUGGGCUUCGUAGGAGCGCGAAAGGAGGGUCCCAGGAGACCCGACAGAGUGACGCCAGGAACCUCGCCGAGCGAGACGACCGGCGGCGCCCCGCGUCGCUGCUUGUGCCUGCGUGUCGCGUUCCAUACGUGCGUAAGCGUCGUCGUGCUCGUAUGCGUGCGGCGGGUCAUAUAAAUACACGCGCAUCUGCGCUAGCUCUCUUUAUCUCUUUGUGCGUUUCUCCUUCUUCUUCUCCUUCUCCAUUGCAGAGAGAGAGAGAGAGAGAGAGAGAUCCGCUCUCUCUCCUCUCCGCUUCCCGAGAACGCAGUUAUUCGGCGUCAUCUGGAUUCCGGUGUGAAUCAUGAUGUUGCUCGCGAGCUGUUUAAUCGCAGAACAGCUAGAAAUUGAAUGGCGUGCGUGUACCAAUAGAAGCGUGACGAGAGAGACAAGAAAAUUUGCAAGAUACGUAUAUGUUUAUAGAAUUUAUUAAUUUGUGCGACGAUUGUGUAAUUUUUUAAUAUUAAAUUUAUAGCGUCAUUCUACCUCUCUGUCUCUCUUUGUGAAGCGUCUUGUCGAGGUCUAUUAUUCUUGUCGGAGAGAACCAGUAAUCGAGGAGAGGACGAAUACCGUCAUCUGGAUGCGAGCGUGAUUCAUGCACGCUUGCGGCGCCGGCUGAGAGAUCGAUCGACGCUGAGAUCGUCUGGUACAAUGCGUGCUGUCACGGAACGCAAUUACGUGAUCGACGCUGCGAUUACGCAAGGACGACAAAUGCGCUUUGAUUUGCUUAAUUAAACGUGUUGCGCGUACGCGCGCUCCAAACAUAAUUAUCGUCUACGCAUUUAUAUUCGUGAAUCUAGUUUCAAUUAAAGAAAAGAAACAUCACUUGAGAAACACUAUCUUGCUUCAUCUUAAAUUUUUAUGCGCAGAGAACCACGCCGUUAUGUCACAAAGUAAAUCCUAUCACAGGUGACAUUCGAUAGCGUGUCAGCAGAAAUGAAGUUUAUGAAUGGCAAGAUUGCAUCGGUAAAAUUCGAAAUUUUGGAAAUAAUGAGGAUAAGAAUGCUUUUUUGUUUUAAUUGAGCAAGGACACUUCAUCCGAUUUCUUCCAUCGAGCGAUAUAAUUUCACAGAGGGGGAAAACGAGGUUACGAUAACGGAGGACCACGGUCAUCCCACCUUCACCGCGUGAUGAUGUUCAUGUUUGACCGAAUUCUAGCCUCAUGGCUUGCUUUCACGGAGAAUAAAGCCCGUUUCCAUGAGAGCGCUUAAUUUCAUUUACCGCAAGAUAUCCCGGCACGAUGUCUCGCGCGCAUCGAUGUUUUUCUCCUUCGCGACACUUUUAAAAAAUAUAUUCCAUUGGUCCUCGAGAGAUAGAGGAUGAUAUUAAUUACGUCACUUUCUUGACAGUAAUUCGAGAAAAUGGGACAAUUAGUCAAAUGGAAAUAAAAGAAGAGAGAAAGAAGAAUAAUUAAAAGAUAUCGUUUUAAGGAUGUAUGUGACAUAUAUCGAAAUACUAAUAAAAGUAUUAAAAUUUCAUAGAUUCUACUAUUUCUUCUGAAUAUUUGUGCAAAAACUAAACACAAUUCUCUUAACGGUUUGGAAGUUAUUUAAAUUUAAAGUUACUAUUGAUUCUUAUGGAAAAUCGCCUAUUGUAGCACUUAUUGACAAAUUUGACAAAGAAAAAAUAUUACCAAUAAAAUAAAAAUUUUCACAUAUAUUAAGGAAAUUCUAAUAAAUAUUUGUGCAAAACUUGAUUUAGAUCCAUUAAUUCGUUUAAAAGUUAUUUACUAAAAAUUGUAGAAAAAUAUUAUCUGUCUCUUUUUCUCUUUCUGCAAAUUACUCGUUUUUCAUUGUUUUUCGCAGUUGAUUUCAGAGAAUAUUCACGAUCAAAAGUUUUUGCCAUAAAUUAGGAAAAAUAUUAAUUAAAACUAUUUUCUUUUACGAAGACGUCAAAAUCCAUAUUAUUUUGCGAUACUUAAAUUUUUUUCAUAACCCAAAUUUAUUUUUUUAAUUUUUCAAACAGUAUAAACGUAAGAAACAUAUUUUCUUUUUAAUUUUGACAAUUUUUUGCUACUAUUAUACAUCCAGAACAUCCUUAAAUAACAAGAUAACAUUGCUUAAUCCAAUUUGUGUGAUACAUCAAUUACAUAAAAAUUUGUAAAGGAGAUAUAUUACAUUUUUGACAUUAACAUGUGCCAAGACAGAAAAAGGUUGACAUUUAUAUAUGUAUAAAUAUAAAUCUCGUUAGUUUUAUUUUUUGCUUUAUUAUUAGUAUAGCUUAUGAAAUGACAGAUAUUUACGUUUAAAUGUAUAAAAUGCAAAUAUAUGUCAUAUUAUUUUGCAAAAGCCUAAGCAAUUUAAUAAUCAUUUUUAAAACUAACUCGAGAUUAUUUGCGAGCGACGAAACAAUUUAAAAUCUGCUCCUCUUUCUUCGGCUUAUUUCUUUUGUUAAUUUGUAUUGGUUCGAUAUGUGUGUUGACUGAAAAGUUAGAACUGCGAUUGUCCAGCUAAAGGAAAUUUUUCUAGAGAAAAAGAUCACGUAGAUGUCAUGAUACGAAGAGAAACAUAUGUUAGUGAUUAAAAUAUUUUUUAAUCAAAAUAUUUUUUAAUAUUUUAAAAUCUGUAACAAGAAUAAUCGAUGCUGAAACAAAAUAUGUCAUGUGUCGCUACAAUGAAUUAACAGAACAAUGAAUAGAAUCUCUUUGUUUCCGCUUAAAAACAAAUGAGUCUCUUUCUGAGAAGAAGACUGUUUGUUUCAAAUCAAUGAAUCUAACUGUCAAGUUUCCCGCCAAGAAGCUUUGUCACGUUUUCGCGUGAAUGAUGCGAUUAAACUUGAACUUCAAUUUUCGUCCAAUAAAAAAGCGAUUGAGAAAUUAAUUAAAAGACAAUUCUCGUAUCAUCUAUUACAUUUACAUUCUUGAAAUACAAUUUUACAAAAUUUUUUAAUUCAAAAUCCUGCUCAAGACUUAUUUAUUUUGAAGAAGCUAUAUUCUUUUUAGUUGAUUUGAAUAUCCGUCCUUGAAAAAAUGUUCAAUGUAUUAAUAUUGUGUGUAUAAAAGCAAUUUAAUCAGGAAGAAUAACACAGCAGUCGGUGUUGAUGCGACGUAUUUACUUGCGAGAAUUUCGAAUGACAUUGGCGAUGACAAAUGGUCGGUUGUGAACGAUACCUUAGUCGUGUUCGCCGUGUCCCUCGUCGGCUACGGGAGGGGAGAAGAGAAGGGCGGAGAAUCGUUGACGUGCUGCAAGUAACACAGACUAAAGUUCUAUUCCUAGACAUGCCGAGACACCGGAGAAUAACCUCGCGCAACAGAGAAUCAAGAGGGCUUUCCCAAUCCCCAGGAUAGCCGAGUAACUUAAACUCGCUCUUUCCGCUCUUCUUAUCCGUUCUCGCUAAACUUUAUCCGCGAGAGUUCUCUACCCUUCGUCCAUUAUCCAUGUGAGAGUAAAGUUGUCGGAAGAACGUUUAGGGCAUCUUAUGUUUCUGUUAUAAAUAAAGAUAGUUGUCCGUCUAAUUGUAUUUUUUCCGUUUCAUCCAUAAAAUUAGGGAUUUUGAUAAUCAUGGAAAAAAGUUGAAGAGAUGAUAAUCAUAUAUGUUUCACUAUCAACUUGUACGUCUUUCUUUAUCCUGGUUAAAAAUUCACUACCUGAAUUAAAUAUUUAAUAUUAACGAGUGUUGGAUAAAAUGAAACUUUCUUAAAAUAGCUAGUUGUGAAAUGAAGAUUUCUUAUCCUUCAUUGCUAAUUUAUAAUUAAUGACGGUACUAAUCAUAGAUAAAAAAUGAUUAUUUAUAAUGUCUUAAAUGUACCUAUUAUACAUAUAUAUUUAUAAGCAUGGGUGACAUAUAUUUAUAAGCAAUGGUGAUCCCCAUACUUCCUAUUCGAUCUCUAUUUUUUUUGAGCGUACAUAUAUUUAAGGAUAUUUUAGCUAUACAAUAGCAACAGUAAUUGUCAAAAUUAAAAAAAAAACAAACAUAUUUCUUCCGUUUAUACUGUUUGAAAAAUCAAAUAAAUAAAUUUGGAUUACAAAAUGAUAUGGUUUUUAAUAUCUUCGUAAAAGAAAUAAUAGUUAAUAUUUUUUCUAAUUUAUGACCAAAAUUCUUGAAUGUGAAUCUGAAAAAUCAACUGCAAGAAAUAAAAAUAUGAGUAAUUUACAGGAAGAAAGAGAGAGAGAGAGAGAGAGAGAUUUACAAUUUUUAGCAAAUAACUUUUAACGAGUAAAUGGAUUUAAAUCAAAUCAUGGAUUUGAAUUAAAAUCAAAUAAUUUUUGCACAAAUAUUUAUUAGAGUUUUCUUCAUAUAUGAAAAAUUUUGAUUUUGUUGGCAAUGUUUUUUCCUUAUCAAAUUUAUCAAUAAGCGCUGCAAUACACGAUUUUCCAUAA
This is a long non-coding RNA of Cataglyphis hispanica, 4725 nucleotides long. RefSeq lists it as uncharacterized. The record is from RefSeq and is a predicted model, not a curated record. NCBI's taxonomy places the organism in Eukaryota, Metazoa, Arthropoda, Insecta, Hymenoptera, Formicidae. The transcript has 2 exons.